RNAcentral lists this ribosomal RNA (253 nucleotides) under uncultured bacterium. Its description in RNAcentral is "partial 16S ribosomal RNA". It matches the Rfam family "Bacterial small subunit ribosomal RNA", at positions 524 to 776 of the family's 1533-position model. The record is from RNAcentral.
UACGUAGGUGGCAAGCGUUGUCCGGAUUUAUUGGGUUUAAAGGGUGCGUAGGCGGCCUUGUAAGUCAGUGCUGGAAUAUCCCGGCUUAACCGGGAGGGUGGCAUUGAUACUGCAGGGCUUGAGUAAAGUUGAGGUUGGCGGAAUUGACGGUGUAGCGGUGAAAUGCUUAGAUAUCGUCAAGAACACCGAUAGUGAAGACAGCUAACUAAGCUUUAACUGACGCUGAGGCACGAAAGUGUGGGGAUCAAACAGG